Lynx canadensis (Canada lynx) is the source of this 2293-nucleotide RNA transcript. It is a transcript of the gene named lipopolysaccharide-binding protein-like, with no coding region annotated. The transcript has 16 exons. NCBI's taxonomy places the organism in Eukaryota, Metazoa, Chordata, Mammalia, Carnivora, Felidae. The record is from RefSeq and is a predicted model, not a curated record.
CCGGCCUGGGCCACUCCACUGGGAAUCCAGGAUGAGGGCCUUGGCCGGGGCCCUGCCCUCUCUACUGCUGAGGUUGCUGCUUACAUCCUCCCCUGAGGCCCUGGGUGCCAACCCCGGCCUGGUCGCCAGGAUCACUGACAAGGGACUGGAGUACGUGGCCCACGAGGGAUUGGUGACCCUGCGGGAGGAACUGCUCAGAAUCACGCUGCCUGACUUCACCGGGGACUUUAAGAUCAAGCCCUUUGGCCGUGGGCACUACGAGUUCCAUAGCCAGCAGAUCCACAGCUGUGAGCUGCCUGGCUCCACUCUGACACCCCUUCCCGGCCAGGGCCUGAGUUUCACCAUCUCUGACUCCUUCAUCAGAGUCCAGAGCGAAUGGAAGGUGCGCAAAUCUUUCGUGAAACUACACGGGUCCCUUGAUGUGGAGGUCAAGGGCAUUACCAUUUCAGUCAACCUUCUCUUGGGCAGAGAGCUCUCUGGGAGGCCCACCGUCAGUGCCACCAGCUGCAGCAGCCACAUUCAAGAUGUGGAGGUGGACGUGUCGGGAGAUUUGGGGUGGCUGUUGAAUCUCUUCGACAACCAGAUUGAGUCCAAGUUACGCAAAGCGUUGGAAAACAAGAUUUGCGAAAGGAUCCAGAAAUCGGUGGCCUCUGACCUACAGCCGUAUCUCCAAACUCUGCCAGUCACAACAGAGAUCGACAGUUUCGCUGGCAUCGAUUACAGUUUAACGGAAGCCCCUCGGGCAACAGCCCAAAUGCUGGACGUGAUGUUUAAGGGUGAAAUUUUUAACCGCGAUCGCUAUUCCCCAGUCACCUUCCUUGCUCCUGUCAUGAGUCUUCCUGAGGACCACAACCGAAUGGUCUACUUUGCCAUCUCUGAUUAUGUCUUCAACACAGCCAGUCGGGUUUAUCACGAGGCAGGGCACCUGAACUUCUCCAUCACAGAUGACAUGGUUCCUUCUGGCUCUACCAUCCGCCUGACCACCAAGUCCUUCCGCCCCUUCGCGCCCCGGUUAGCCAGACUGUACCCCAACAUGAACUUGGAGCUCCAGGGAACAAUGGCCUCAGCCCCAUUCCUGAACCUCAGCCCUGGGAAUCUGUCCUUGACCCCCCAGAUGGAGAUUGAAGGCUUUGUGCUCCUGCCCAGCUCCGUCAGGGAGCCUGUGUUCAGGCUUGGUGUGGCUACCAAUGUGUCUGCCAUGUUGACCUUCAACACCAGCAAGAUCACUGGGGCCCUGAAGCCAGGAAAGGUGCAAGUGGAACUGAAAGAAUCUAAAGUUGGAGUAUUCAAUGUGGAGCUGUUGGAGGCGCUGCUCAACUACCACGUUCUCAACACCCUCUACCCUCAGGUCAACGAGAAGUUGGCAGAAGGCUUCCCCCUCCCUCUGCUGAAGCGCAUUCAGCUCUAUGACCCUGUUCUCGAGAUCCACAAGAGACCAUAACCUACUGAACGAUUUCGAUACCAAGGAACACGUCUGAUUGUUCACUCUCCUCUUCACUAUGCUGUCCAAGCAUGUUCUGGUCUGUCUGUGCCCACGGUUCAGGCUAUCUUUCUAGAAUAGCAUCUGCAAGGUGGGACGACUGGGUCGGCAGCCCUGUGAGCAGUAAAGGAGAUGCCAGAUCGCAUCUGGUCCAUCAUCAAUAUCCAGCAAAUAACAGUCACUGCAGAGAGUGAAGGGCAGCAGAGUGGUCAGGGACACUGAGACACUGACCAACUGCUAUAUUUGGAAAAACCAAUAUCCAAAGUCCUCUUGGGCCCAGAGAUGCUCAACAUCCAACUCCUGCUGAGUGAUUACAAGGAGUCAGACAGCUCGUUAUUUAAGUCAAAACUGACAAUUCACACAGCUGGCCUCAGGAUGGCACGUGGGAAAUCAUCAGAAGAUUUAUUCUACGCUAUCAUGCUCAUUAGAAUUUUGAGGUCAUUUGUUUGACCUCCAAAGGCAUGGGAUGGAUCGCUGUGGGAGAGAAUUGGACUUCGCCUGGAGUUCAGAGUUCCCGCCCCUUCGGGUGAUGGAAAGUUACCAGGAGGACUUCCUGUUCCUAGGUGCCAAUGUCCAGUACAUGAGAGUUUGAGGGCAAGGAGAGAGACGGGGGCUUGGAGGCCACAGCUAAAUCGGCAAGUUGCUUUUCCAGAUGUGCAGCAUAUUCCCGGAGAUUCUGAGAAGACGAAGAUUUUUCCGUUCUCAGAUCUGGGGGAGAGGUCUGCCUGGCCCCGGCCCCCACACCGCUCCUCUUCAGCAGGUGCACCCACACCUUCUCUGACUCUGGACUUCACUUUCCCCCCAAGAUUGGAC